AACAACGCAUUUCACAGCCUUUUCUAAUCAUCAUUGAUACUUUUACUUCUACGAGAUUUGAGAACAUAUGAAAAAAUAUUUUUACGUUAUUCAGUCAUGUUUCUUAUUGUGAUUACAAAUGCGAGUACAAACGCGGAAUAAUCUUCCAUCCGCGUUAAACCCAACCCACACCCCUGUUACUAAUACCCACACAAAAACUACUGUUUUAUUGUUUAUUAUUAUAUACUUGGUAUGUCUUGUCAUUCUGUUUCCCAAAGGUCCAGAGAAAAAGGAAGUUUGUAAAAGAUAAGAAGGAUCUAAUGAAGAGGCACAAAGGCUGGGAGCCCAGACUUUAGAACAUGGUGUACACUAGCCAAGUUCAGAAAUCCUGGAACAGGAUGGUGGCUGCAAUCCUUAUUCACAACUAAUUGAUUAUUGGCUAAACAAAACCAAACAGGAAGAAUCCAGCUCCAGCACCGAGUGCUACAGCAAUACAUAUCCACACAUUGUAUGUCAUGAAGAUAAGCAUCAAAAAGUA
This is a long non-coding RNA of Limulus polyphemus (Atlantic horseshoe crab), 517 nucleotides long. RefSeq lists it as uncharacterized. NCBI's taxonomy places the organism in Eukaryota, Metazoa, Arthropoda, Merostomata, Xiphosura, Limulidae. The transcript has 4 exons. The record is from RefSeq and is a predicted model, not a curated record.